This 237-nucleotide unclassified non-coding RNA is filed under the name uncultured Mortierella. RNAcentral's name for it is "sequence contains ITS2". The record is from RNAcentral. Lineage: Eukaryota; Fungi; Mortierellomycota; Mortierellomycetes; Mortierellales; Mortierellaceae.
AACAUCUCAACCCUCAAGGCGCUUGCGUCGGGAGGAUUGGACUUGAGCGAUCCCGACUCUUUCUCACGAAAGAGGAGGGUCGCUUGAAAUGCAGGUGCAGCAGGACAUUCUUCUGAGCUAAAAGCAUAUCUAUUUAGUCCCGUCAAACGGAUUAUUACUUUUGCUUCAGCUAACAUAAAGGUCGAAUGCGCCACAAUCGCUGAUUGCAGGAAAACUCGUUCGCAAGAACUUGUAAAC